Molecule: long non-coding RNA, 1004 nt
Filed under: Coturnix japonica (Japanese quail)
Lineage: Eukaryota; Metazoa; Chordata; Aves; Galliformes; Phasianidae
Description: lncRNA (ENSCJPG00005020891.1)
Source: RNAcentral
UGUUUUGCUGAUGAAGCUGACCAUCUCCAGAAGCCACCUCCUGCCUUUGUUCAGUGACCAGCCCUUCUGCAGGUUCAUCACUGCUGUGCAUUUUUAGGGUAAAGGGACUGUUAUGUGAAGAUGAACCAUUCUGAAACACCAAGACAGCGUGAAAAAGCACCAACAUACCUGGCGAGUGCUGCUUGCUGCCAGCAGCAACCUGUUACAUGGCUUCAGACUCAGAAAGCAGAAGGAGGUGCCUCAACAUCCCCAGCACAGGGCAGCUCCCACAGGCAGACCCAGCAGUGUGAUGGCACCUGCAGGACCCAGCUGUGGCAAGGCCCACAUGUGGGCAAAGGGUCACCAUGGAAGGGUCAAAGGAGCAAAGGAAGGAGUGAAUGGAGGUCAGCUGGAACCAGGGUAUACUUGGAUACACCGUGCUUUAGGAACGGCUCUCGUCCCACUUCUGGAUUUUAUCUCACAGACCGCAGAAUAUUGCCAAUAACCUCACUGGUGGGGACUGACGACACGGAGAUACAUGCAUUCGUGUGAGACCACAACCAAUGAUGUCUAUACUGCAUUAAGCACAUUCAUUGUUAAACACCUUCCAGUCAAAUUGGUUCCUUGACAUUUGUCGUUAAAACUUUAGUUUUUUCUUCCACAAUUAAGCACAAAGUAACCUGUAAACAAGUUGACAUUACACUUAUAUACAAGUGAACCACGUCGGAGAGUAGAAGAGGUAAUUCGGUGGGUGCCACUUAACCUACGUCGAUGUGCAAUAGAUGGACUCCACCGCGGCGAAGUCACUGCGUGCCUUGUGAGCUCUGGGCUGUGAUUUGAGUGGGACUGGGGAGGCACCACCCACAGCCCCCACCCCCACCACGGCCCCCAGAGCUGCAUCCCAUGCUCGGUCAUUGCUAUAGAUUAAAAUCUUCAGUAGCAUUCUUACAAACCGGUCACUGUAGCUAAGUGAUAUCGAUGCCGAGAAAAAUAAAGAAUGUCUUUUUAUAAUAUAAAUAAUUUAA